Molecule: RNase P RNA, 410 nt
Filed under: Alcaligenaceae bacterium
Lineage: Bacteria; Pseudomonadati; Pseudomonadota; Betaproteobacteria; Burkholderiales; Alcaligenaceae
Description: RNase P RNA component class A
Rfam family: Bacterial RNase P class A
About the family: Ribonuclease P (RNase P) is a ubiquitous endoribonuclease, found in archaea, bacteria and eukarya as well as chloroplasts and mitochondria. Its best characterised activity is the generation of mature 5'-ends of tRNAs by cleaving the 5'-leader elements of precursor-tRNAs.
Source: RNAcentral
GAGGCAGGUCGGGCAGUCGCGGUGCUUUCAAGCAUCGAGGAAGGUCCGGACUCCAUAGAGCAGGGUAGCGGCUAACAGCCGCCCGGUCGAGCUGUGCACUUGGUGCAUGGUUCAACCGAGGAAUAGGGCCACAGAGACGAGACUGCCACGCGGGCAUGCUUUGCAUGCACUGACACGGCCAUCUCCGUGUUGCGCAGCCGCUAAUGCGGCUGCGGCGUGGCAGGGUGAAACGCGGUAACCUCUAUCCGGAGCAACAUCAAAUAGGCAUGCGCAGGCUUAGGCCCGAAGGGCGGCUCGCCCCAGCAUGCGGGUAGAUGGCUAGAGUGGCGCAGCAAUGCUCCACCCAGAGGAAUGAUUGCCCGCCGGGCUUGCCCGGUGUACAGAAUCCGGCCUACAGACCUGUCUCACGC